Molecule: ribosomal RNA, 429 nt
Filed under: Bacteroidota bacterium
Lineage: Bacteria; Pseudomonadati; Bacteroidota
Description: Bacteroidetes bacterium partial 16S ribosomal RNA
Rfam family: Bacterial small subunit ribosomal RNA
Source: RNAcentral
UAGGGAAUCUUCCGCAAUGGGCGAAAGCUUGACGGAGCAACGCCGCGUGAGUGAUGAAGGUCUUCGGAUCGUAAAACUCUGUUAUUAGGGAAGAACAAAUGUGUAAGUAACUAUGCACGUCUUGACGGUACCUAAUCAGAAAGCCACGGCUAACUACGUGCCAGCAGCCGCGGUAAUACGUAGGUGGCAAGCGUUGUCCGGAUUUAUUGGGCGUAAAGCGAGCGCAGGCGGUCAAUUAAGUCUGAUGUGAAAGCCCCCGGCUCAACCGGGGAGGGUCAUUGGAAACUGGUUGACUUGAGUGCAGAAGAGGAGAGUGGAAUUCCAUGUGUAGCGGUGAAAUGCGUAGAUAUAUGGAGGAACACCAGUGGCGAAGGCGACUCUCUGGUCUGUAACUGACGCUGAGGCUCGAAAGCGUGGGUAGCAAACAGG